UACUUUUGAAAUAUUCAUUAUGUCUAUGUAUACAUUACAAUAAAAAAGCUAUAAAUACACUCCCUGGUGUUACAAUGCGUCUCCAUGAAUGAAUAACAAAUUCCUUGGUUUGUUUCACCGUUCAGAUGGUGGCCGUCGCCUUCCUAACGUGGCUAUUCUUCCUCAAUACACAGUCCCUGCGGUCCGCUGCACUGCUGCGUCAGUCCUCAGGUAGAUGUCAAUCAUCACAAUGUCCUCGAAUGUGCUGAAUGAAGAACAAUAUUCCUGUACUUGGCCACUGAAUAACACUUCAUUUAUCAGUUCAUUCACGCACCCGCGUGUCACUGUUCUCCAUUGCGAUAGAAAGCACAGCACCAGAAGCACUAGCAGCGGUGCAAGACGUCUGGGCGUCACAGCGUCAGUACCAGUGUCCGGCGCUGCUCUUGUCGGACAACCCUAGCCAGGUUGCUCUAACAUUCGUGAAGGUACGUCACUCGUCGAGGCGAGUAAAACCUUUUCCUUAUUCGAGAACUGAAAGACUGUAUUGGCAACAUUUCACUGGAUGACCAUCAUUACUCUCCAGGCGGCUUUUUCAGGAGGCCGAGGAGAAGCUUUCGCCACGCGGCAUCGUCGUCUUCCUGGUGACCCCUCAACAUAGGCAGGGUAACGGAACGCUGGUGUAUCUCAGGGCGAUGGUCGACAAGGUUCGCCAGAUGGGAGGGGUGUGGCACUGCCUGUUGGUGGUGGUGGUGAGUGAUGACCCAGCCUUCCUCUCCGCCUUCGCUCACCUGUCACUCAGGCGUCACGCCCUCAGGUGGUCCACAAGGAUCCUUGUCCUCACUCGCCUCCCCCUCGGCCACCUUGACGGCCUGCAUGGCAUUCUCUCCAACAGGAACGCCAUGCUGCUCCUCGCUCACCGAGGCCAGAAAACAAGGUAACCUCAAUGGUCAUAACAGCAGUAUCCGUUUCUAAUGAGGAAAGACGGUUAGUUAUGAGCACUGUCUUGCAUCGCAA
Long non-coding RNA from Scylla paramamosain (green mud crab), 993 nucleotides. RefSeq lists it as uncharacterized. NCBI's taxonomy places the organism in Eukaryota, Metazoa, Arthropoda, Malacostraca, Decapoda, Portunidae. The transcript has 2 exons. The record is from RefSeq and is a predicted model, not a curated record.